GUCUUUUUGUAAAUAAUUUAAAGUGUAAUCUGCCCACUGAUAAAAUUAAAGGGCUGCAGUAAAUUGACUGUACAAAGGUAGCAUAAUAAUUAGUCUUUUAAUUGAAGACUUGUAUGAAUGAUUUGAUGAGAUAUAUACUGUCUCUUUUAUAAAAUUAGAAUUUAAUUUUUUAGUAAAAAAGCUAAAAUUUUUUUAAAAGACGAGAAGACCCUAUAGAGUUUUAUAUUUAAUUUAAUUAUAAUUUAUUAUAAAAAUUAAAAUAAAAAUUAAAUUAAAUAUUUUAUUGGGGUGAUAGGGAAAUAAAUAAAACUUUUUUUUUAUUAUAUAUAUAUAUAUAUAUAUAAACAUUAAUUAAUGAGUUAAUGAUCCAUAAUUUAUGAUUAAAAGAAAAAAUUACCUUAGGGAUAACAGCGUAAUUUUUUUUUUUAGUACAAAUAAAAAAAAAAGUUUGCGACCUCGAUGUUGGAUUAAGAUAAAAUUUAAAUGUAAAAUUUUAAAAUUUUUGAUCUGUUCGAUCAUAAAAAUCUUACA
This 531-nucleotide ribosomal RNA is filed under the name Pithauria marsena. RNAcentral's name for it is "partial 16S ribosomal RNA". The stretch from base 404 to 531 matches the Rfam family "Bacterial large subunit ribosomal RNA", at positions 2473 to 2600 of the family's 2925-position model. Lineage: Eukaryota; Metazoa; Arthropoda; Insecta; Lepidoptera; Hesperiidae. The record is from RNAcentral.